This 497-nucleotide ribosomal RNA is filed under the name uncultured bacterium. RNAcentral describes it as "partial 16S ribosomal RNA". It matches the Rfam family "Bacterial small subunit ribosomal RNA", at positions 28 to 507 of the family's 1533-position model. The record is from RNAcentral.
GACGAAUGCUGGCGGCGUGCCUAAUACAUGCAAGUUGAGCGCUGAAGGUUGGUACUUGUACCAACUGGAUGAGCAGCGAACGGGUGAGUAACGCGUGGGGAAUCUGCCUUUGAGCGGGGGACAACAUUUGGAAACGAAUGCUAAUACCGCAUAAAAACUUUAAACACAAGUUUUAAGUUUGAAAGAUGCAAUUGCAUCACUCAAAGAUGAUCCCGCGUUGUAUUAGCUAGUUGGUGAGGUAAAGGCUCACCAAGGCGAUGAUACAUAGCCGACCCGAGAGGGUGAUCGGCCACAUUGGGACUGAGACACGGCCCAAACUCCUACGGGAGGCAGCAGUAGGGAAUCUUCGGCAAUGGACGAAAGUCUGACCGAGCAACGCCGCGUGAGUGAAGAAGGUUUUCGGAUCGUAAAACUCUGUUGGUAGAGAAGAACGUUGGUGAGAGUGGAAAGCUCAUCAAGUGACGGUAACUACCCAGAAAGGGACGGCUAACUACGUG